UACGAAGGGUGCUAGCGUUGUUCGGAAUUACUGGGCGUAAAGCGCGCGUAGGCGGCUAUACAAGUCAGAGGUGAAAUCCCGGAGCUUAACUCCGGAACUGCCUUUGAAACUGUAUAGCUGGAGUGUGUGAGGGGAUAGCGGAAUUGCUAAUGUAGAGGUGAAAUUCGUAGAUAUUAGCAGGAACACCGGUGGCGAAGGCGGCUAUCUGGCACACAACUGACGCUGAGGCGCGAAAGCGUGGGGAUCAAACAGG
RNAcentral lists this ribosomal RNA (253 nucleotides) under uncultured bacterium. RNAcentral describes it as "partial 16S ribosomal RNA". It matches the Rfam family "Bacterial small subunit ribosomal RNA", at positions 524 to 776 of the family's 1533-position model. The record is from RNAcentral.